CCCUAGUAUCAAAUAGAAUUUGAAUUAGUAUUAUUGAAAAUUAAUAAUUUUGGCGGUUAAUUAUUAUUUAGAGGAGCUUGUACUUUAUAGAUUUUGCUCUUUAUAUUUUACUAAUAGGUCUAAUUUAUUCAUCUCCGUUAUUAAAUUAAAAUAUAUUUAUGAUUGUAAAAGAUGUUAUUUAAGAUCUCAGGUCAAGAUGUAGUAUGAAUUAGAGGGUAUUAGCUACAUUUAUGAAAUUAGUGAAAUUAUAUUUAGAGUAAACAAGUAAGAAAUUGAAUUUAGUUGUAAUAGAGAUUAGAAUAUAAUUGUGAAUAUAUAUAAUUAAUGUA
Molecule: ribosomal RNA, 329 nt
Filed under: Sodreana leprevosti
Lineage: Eukaryota; Metazoa; Arthropoda; Arachnida; Opiliones; Gonyleptidae
Description: partial 12S ribosomal RNA
Source: RNAcentral